UUUCCGUAGGUGAACCUGCGGAAGGAUCAUUAUUGGAUUUUGAAACUUCAGGCUGCUGCUGGCUCUCCUCGGAGGGCAUGUGCACGCUUGUUGUCCAUUAUUUCUCCCACUGUGCACAAAUUGUAGACCUUUCAGUAGGCCUAUGUUGUUUUUCACAAUCUCUGAAUGUAAUAGAAUGGUUUUGAAUCUUGGGAAAUACAAUGCAACUUUCAGCAACGGAUCUCUUGGCUCUC
This 233-nucleotide unclassified non-coding RNA is filed under the name plant metagenome. RNAcentral describes it as "partial contains small subunit ribosomal RNA, internal transcribed spacer 1, and 5.8S ribosomal RNA". The record is from RNAcentral.